CACGUAGGCAGCAAGCGUUGUUCGGAAUUACUGGGCGUAAAGAGUGUGUAGGCGGUGCUCUAAGUUCGUUGUGAAAUCUCCCGGCUUAACUGGGAGGGUGCGGCGGAAACUGGAGUGCUUGAGCGCGGGAGAGGAAAGCGGAAUUCCUGGUGUAGCGGUGAAAUGCGUAGAUAUCAGGAGGAACACCUGUGGUGUAGACGGCUUUCUGGACCGUAGCUGACGCUGAGACACGAAAGCGUGGGUAGCAAACAGG
This 253-nucleotide ribosomal RNA is filed under the name uncultured bacterium. RNAcentral's name for it is "partial 16S ribosomal RNA". It matches the Rfam family "Bacterial small subunit ribosomal RNA", at positions 524 to 776 of the family's 1533-position model. The record is from RNAcentral.